This 301-nucleotide ribosomal RNA is filed under the name uncultured bacterium. Its description in RNAcentral is "partial 16S ribosomal RNA". It matches the Rfam family "Bacterial small subunit ribosomal RNA", at positions 509 to 809 of the family's 1533-position model. The record is from RNAcentral.
CAGUCGCCGCGGGAAUACGUAGGGUGCAAGCGUUAAUCGGAAUUAUUGGGCGUAAAGCGAGUGCAGACGGUUACUUAAGCCAGAUGUGAAAUCCCCAAGCUUAACUUGGGACGUGCAUUUGAAACUGGGUGACUAGAGUGUGUCAGAGGGAGGUAGAAUUCCACAUGUAGCGGUGGAAUGCGUAGAGAUGUGGAGGAAUACCGAUGGCGAGGGCAGCCUCCUGGGAUAACACUGACGUUGAGGCUCGAAAGCGUGGGGAGCAAACAGGAUUAGAUACCCCCGUAGUCCCUGUCUCUUAUAA